RNAcentral lists this non-coding RNA (30 nucleotides) under Homo sapiens (human). The record is from RNAcentral. Lineage: Eukaryota; Metazoa; Chordata; Mammalia; Primates; Hominidae.
UAACACAGAGAAACACGCUGGCAGGCCUGC